Molecule: long non-coding RNA, 4170 nt
Filed under: Triticum aestivum (bread wheat)
Lineage: Eukaryota; Viridiplantae; Streptophyta; Magnoliopsida; Poales; Poaceae
Description: long non-coding RNA (TAES_LNC014605)
Source: RNAcentral
GCCGGUCUGAUUCGCAUAUUCAGGUAAAUGGCUGCUCCGCUGCUGCACCUGCACUUGUCAAUUCUUCCUGCAGUCCCGCUUCAAUCCACAAACAAGCAACUCGAUUCUCAUCCUGUUAUCCUGUAUCCGUGUCGAAUUCAGUCCUGGUCGAAUUGAUGCUCCAGAUUUUUUUUUGCUUUGGUAAUUUGGUUGUGUAAUUUGUGAUUCUAUGGUCUUUGAUUCUAUGAAGGAUUCCCUGUUCGGCUGUUCCCAUCUUUGACAUGUCCACAAUUAUCAUGAUAGUGUUGUACUGUGUCUGACGGCCAGCGGCGAGUUCUUAUUUUUGUGAUGCAAAUUAUCCAUUAUCUUGUAUUACUUCCUAUCUGCAAUUGAUCAACAACUGAGUGAACUGAAUGAUCGAUUCAGCACACAAGCAACUGAGCUCCUUACUCUCUGUUCAUCAUUGGAUCCAAGGCAUGGAUCUUUUGAUAUCCCAAAGAUAAGCACUCUUGCAGAAAAAUUCUAUCCUGCUGAUUUUUCAAGUCAAGAAUUAGCUCAGUUGGAAAGUCAGCUACCUCAUUUUCAGCUAAAUGUGUGCAACCAUCCAGAACUGAUGACCUUGCCAUCUAUUGCUUGUUUAACAAAAGGGCUAGUUAAAACCAGAAAAGCUUCUUCAUAUCCAAUGGUUGACAGGUUGCUGCGACUAGUUAUCACUCUCCCAGUCUCAACGGCAACUGCAGAGCAGGCUUUUUCGGCUAUGAAAAUAUUCAAGACACGUCUUCGGAGUAAAAUGAGAGAUGAUUUGCUUCGCCAUUGCAUGAUAAUUUACAAAAAAAAUUAGCAGCUAAGAUAUCUUCUGAUGAAAUUAUUAAUAUUUUUGAUCUUAUUAGCAGUCGUAGAGGCCACUUUAAAUUAAUAGAAAUGUAAUGAUAUUUUUAUGUCGCUUCAGCAAAACCUUGUUCUAUAUGAUUAUUUUUGUACUGGAUAAUUUUUUUCUUUGCUUGAUUUGGCUUGCCCCUCCCCAUAUCCAAAUCCUGGCUCCGCCCCUGAGGCUAGGCACCACCUUAGGGGAUGGGGGGCAAACAUGGGCAGACAGUUGAGAUCCCGCAAAGAAUCCUUGCUACUGGAAAUAAGAUUGCUCGAUGCUAAGGCAGAUGGGGCCGGGCUUUCGGCGGAUGAAUGGGCUAGGAGAUAUGUGGUCGAGGACGAAAUGAUUUUUAUCUUGACCUGUGAAGAGAUGUAUUGGAAGCAGAGAGGGCAACAACGGUGGAUACUUAAAGGUGAUGCCAACACAGAUUACUUUCAUGUGAUCGCGAAUGGGCGCCGUAGGAGGUGCACAAUUAGGUGCCUUCGAGAGGGAGACAGAACUUUUGUUGGAGAGGACGAGCUUAGGUCGCAUAUAGACGGGUUCUAUAGGCAGUUACUGGGAUCCACAUCUGGUGGCGCAGCUACCAUGGGCCCCAACAUGUGGGGACCCGAGGGGAGGGUGUCCAGGCAGGACAAUCUGGAACUAAUCUGCCCUUCUUUGUUAUUACAAAUAACCAGAGAUUUAAAAGCAAUGAAGGGUGACACGGCACCAGGACCUGAUGGUUUUCCGGUGACGUUCUACAAGAAGUUUUGGAACUUGGUGGGUCCCUAAUUCUUCCAAAUAGUUCAUGAUUUCACUCGCGGUCUGAUUGAUGUGAAGCGGCUAAACUAUGGGGUGUUGGCCCUAUUGCCAAAAGUCUAGGGCGCGAACAAUAUCCAUCAAUUCCGGCCGAUCACCCUUAUCAACAUGAGUUUUUGACUUCUCGCAAAGGGGUUCACGACUCAUCUAUAUCCCGUGGAUAACAAAAUCAUUGACCAAAAUCAAACUGCCUUCAUCCGUGGGAGGAGCAUUUUAGACGGCAUUGCGGUAUUGCAUGUGGUUCUACAUGAAAUCAAAUCUACUAAGGAAGAGGUGGUCAUCCUUAAGAUCGACUUUGAGAAGGCAUAUGAUAGAGUAAGAUGGGAUUUUAUAGAGGAGGUGAUGAGAGCGAAGGGUUUCGAUCCCUUGUGGAUUAGCUGGAUGCGGCAAUUGAUUCAAGGGUGUCAGACGACAGUCAAUCUCAAUGGGGAGAUAGGCCCAUUCUUUAGGAACAAGCAGAGUAUGGCAGGGUGACCCGAUCUCCCCACUUCUAUUUAACAUUUUGGCGGACGCGUUGGCAUCCAUUCUGGACCAUGCCAAGGCGGCAGGUCAUAUUAGCGGGGUGGCAGUGAGUAUAAAUCCGGGAGGGAUAUCGCUUCUCCAAUAUGCGGAUGACACAUUAAUAUUCAUCAAGAACUCGGAAAGGGAUAUAGUGAAUCUCAAAUUCAUCUUGAUGUGUUUAGAGGAGAUGUCAGGUCUAAAAAUCAACUUUGAGAAAAGUCAGGCGAUAGUAACUGGGGGAGAUUCGGAGUCGCAACUUAGGGUGGCCCACAUGAUGAAUUGGGAAUUGGGAUCCAUACUGUUAAAGUAUCUGGGUAUGCAUGUAUCCGUGAGAGCCUUAACUAUGGGGGAAUUACAACUAGUAGUAGAGAAAACAACGGCGCGAGUGGAGCCAUGGCAAGGAAAGCUUCUAGCCUCUAGUGGGCGCUUGGUACUGAGAAACGAUUGCCUGACAAACAUCCCAAUGUUUGUGAUGGUUUUUUACCUCCUCCAGGACGGAAUCCAUGCAAAACUAAAUAAAGUUCAAUCCUAUUUCUUCUGGGCAAAAUAGAAUGGGAAACAGAGGUACCAUAUGGUUAGUUGGGAGAACAUCUGUGAGCCUAAGGAGCGAGGUGGGCUUGGAGUGAUCAACUCCAAAAUAAUGAACUGGUGUCUCAUGACUAAGUGGGCGUGGAAAAUUCUAACCGGCCGAGGGGGCCUUUGGUUAGAUAUAUUCAGACGAAAAUACUUGGAUGAAGGAGGGGUGGAAUUUAGGAGAAAUGCUAAAAUGUCGCAAUUAGUGAGGGAUGUUAAGAAAGUACAACCUAUUCUUAGGCUAGGGACUAGGUUUAAUGUGCGCAAUGGCAAAGCAAUGUGCUUCUGGCUGGACAUUUGGUGCGAGGAUAGAAGUCUCCGAGAUGGUUUUCCGUCUCUAUUUGUGAUUGCCAAAAAUCAAAAUGCCAAAGUGGCAGAGUGUUGGAGGCAGGGACAGUGGUCUCCAUGUUUUCGGCGUCCAUUAGGGAACGCAGAAAAUCCCGAGUGGGAGGAGCUUCGGGAUAAGUUGAGAGGGUAUAAUCUGAGUCACGAAAAGGAUGAGGUUGUUUGGCGACUUGAAUCGUUUGGUCAAUUCUCCACAGGAUCAUUGUACAAGGAGAUUUUCAAAAAUUCGACCCCACAUGACUUGUCAGGGUUGUGGGGAGCGCGAUACCAUCCAAAAUCAGGAUCUUCUUAUGGCAAGUCGCCCGUAACAGAAUCACAAGCGGGGAUCAGAUCCAAAAACGACACGGCCCGGGAGAUGGCAGAUGUGUGUGGUGUGGCGAAAGUGAAGACCGGGAUCAUAUUCUGUUCCGAUGCAUUAUGGCUAGAUUUAUGUGGAGUGCAGUACGCUCGGCAACUGGGUCCAUGUGGAACCCAAGUGGGUUCUCAGAAUUUUACCAGCUUGCAGCCGCUACGUCUGGGAGGGAUAAGAUGAUGACAUGGCUAGGAUUUGGAGCCCUAGCAUGGUCUCUUUGGACUACUCGAAAUAAAGCGCUAAUAGAGGGAGUUUUUAUCAGACAUCUGGUUGAUAUGUUAUAUAAAAUGGUGUCUUUCCUGCAGCUAUGGAAGCUUCUGGCAAAACGACGAGACAGAGGACUCGUGGAGGAUCUCGUCAGAAGGGUGCGGGCAAGGUGCACUGAACUUCGACGCACAUCAUAGGGCUCAGAUACCAGACGUCUACAUGGCGCCCUUGCUACCUCGAGAGCCACCGUUGGUCACUUAGCCUUUACUAGCGCUGCGCCGCUAUGUAUCCGCCUAUGGGCUUGUACCUUUUUGUUAUCGCUUUGGCACGCUUUAGUUUCGCUUUGUAGUUAAUAUUCGGUCCUGACCGUUGGGCGGGAUUGUUGGACUCGUAAGGGCCUCAUUCUAAGGCCGGGCAAGCGCCUCCUUUUUAAAAAAAAUAUAAAAAGGGUCUGUACCUUGCACUGGUGGCACAAAGCGUCUCCCGGUGGCUGUUUUUUUAAAUUAGUUAUUAAGGUUCCUUCACGCCUUGCAAGACAAGUGUUGCU